AGUGCUUCCUGGCGCUGAUGGCAAAAUGGGACCCAUCUCCAGUUAUUCCUCGGGCACCCCAGCUUUGCAAAUCUGGGAAAGAACCUACAUAAACAUAUUGGUGAUGUAGCCAGCUUAAAAGGCCGAGAGAAUCCUUAUGGAUUCAGGAGACUGUUUUUUUAUUUAGAUUUUUAUUUUUUAUUUGGAAGAUGAAAUGCUUCUCUCGUUACCUGCCUUACAUCUUCAGACCUCCGAACACCAUCCUUUCUUCCAGCUGCCACACAGAAGGAGCCAAGGGAGAACCCAAGACAGAGAAUAGUGGCCCAAUAAUGAAGCAUGAAUUAUCCAGAUGAAAACACCUAUGGAAAUAAAGGUGCCUGUCCUGAGACCCAUGGACCUGAUGGUGGAGGCCACCCCACGAAGAGUAUUUGCCAACGCACACACGUAUCACAUCAACUCCAUAUCUGUCAACAGUGACUAUGAAACCUACAUGUCCGCUGAUGACCUGAGGAUUAACCUAUGGAACUUUGAAAUAACCAAUCAAAGUUUUA
RNAcentral lists this small RNA (530 nucleotides) under Pan troglodytes (chimpanzee). RNAcentral describes it as "processed transcript". Lineage: Eukaryota; Metazoa; Chordata; Mammalia; Primates; Hominidae. The record is from RNAcentral.